AUGGGGUUGGGGUUUGGGGUGGGGAAUCGCUGCCAUCCCCAAUCCUUCCCCCACCCUCUGCUCCCCCCGCAGCUCCCAUCCAAGGUGGCGCAAGCUGAGGGGGUGUCGUGUGUGUGUGUGUCCCCCCCCCGGCCAUCUCCUGUCCCUCUGCUGCAGCCAGCUCCAAGCGCUGCCAGGCUGCACCCUCUGCUGGGGACAGGAGGCAGCGGCAGGGGACAGCCGGGGGGGACACGGGGGCAAACAGCAGGGAAAGAGGUGCUGCCAGGUGCCUGGGGGGAACGGGGACACGAAGGUGACCGCGGGUCCUGCUCCCUGCUGUCACCCCUCGGUCCCCAACCCUGGCUGAGCAGGGGACGGAGCCGCCAGGCGCAGCCAGUGCGGGGACACCGCGAUGAAGCGCUGCCACCAGGACCCCCGUUUGGUCCUCAGCCAGCUCUGGUGGGGCUGGGGAUGUCCCCAAGGCACCUCUGUCCCGGCUCUGGUCCCCUCCUGCUGUGUGCCAACCCCUGGGGCGCGGGGACCCUUGGGCACGGGGACGCACCCGGGCGCAUUGCAAGCGAGGAGCGGGCAGCAGGGCACGGGGCUGGAGGAGGGGGGCUGCACGGCUCCCCGAGCCCACACCGGCCAAACCCUGGCAGUGCCACGUCCUCAUCCAGCUCCUGGGAAAGGCAGCAGCCCCUAAUCCCCGUGCCGAGCAGGGGCAUUGUGCGGGGGCAGAAAGGAAAGCGGUGCGUCAGGCCCUCGACCCAUUGUGCCCCUGAGCCCCUGCGCAAACACAGCCCGGCACUUGCAUUGUCAGCGCCGGGGAGGGGGGGGGGAAACAAGGGGGGGGAGCCGCUCUCGCCACGCUGCCUGAGUGGAAUGGACAGCGGGUGGGCACCCCGGCACCCCCCCACCCCGCUGACACAGCGCCUGCCCCCCCUGCCACCCCCAUUUCGCCUAUAUAGGGCCCGGGGAACAGCCGGCACCGGCACCGCCACCUUCGCCUCCGUGCCCUGUGACCGAGUAAGUACCAGGCUGUGA
Molecule: long non-coding RNA, 1023 nt
Filed under: Anas platyrhynchos (mallard)
Lineage: Eukaryota; Metazoa; Chordata; Aves; Anseriformes; Anatidae
Description: lncRNA (ENSAPLG00020001941.1)
Source: RNAcentral